UACGGAGGGGGCUAGCGUUGUUCGGAAUUACUGGGCGUAAAGCGCACGUAGGCGGCUUUGUAAGUCAGAGGUGAAAGCCCGGAGCUCAACUCCGGAAUUGCCUUUAAGACUGCAUCGCUAGAAUUGUGGAGAGGUAAGUGGAAUUCCGAGUGUAGAGGUGAAAUUCGUAGAUAUUCGGAAGAACACCAGUGGCGAAGGCGACUUACUGGACACAUAUUGACGCUGAGGUGCGAAAGCGUGGGGAGCAAACAGG
RNAcentral lists this ribosomal RNA (253 nucleotides) under uncultured bacterium. RNAcentral's name for it is "partial 16S ribosomal RNA". It matches the Rfam family "Bacterial small subunit ribosomal RNA", at positions 524 to 776 of the family's 1533-position model. The record is from RNAcentral.